This 253-nucleotide ribosomal RNA is filed under the name uncultured bacterium. Its description in RNAcentral is "partial 16S ribosomal RNA". It matches the Rfam family "Bacterial small subunit ribosomal RNA", at positions 524 to 776 of the family's 1533-position model. The record is from RNAcentral.
UACGUAGGGUGCGAGCGUUAAUCGGAAUUACUGGGCGUAAAGCGUGCGCAGGCGGUCCGCAAAGUCUGAUGUGAAAGCCCCGGGCUCAACCUGGGAACUGCAUUGGAAACUAACGGGCUCGAGUGUGGCAGAGGGGGGUGGAAUUCCACGUGUAGCAGUGAAAUGCGUAGAGAUGUGGAGGAACACCGAUGGCGAAGGCAGGUCUCUGGGCUAUAACUGACGCUCAUGCACGAAAGCGUGGGGAGCAAACAGG